This is a long non-coding RNA of Eriocheir sinensis (Chinese mitten crab), 191 nucleotides long. RefSeq lists it as uncharacterized. The transcript is spliced from 2 exons. The record is from RefSeq and is a predicted model, not a curated record. NCBI's taxonomy places the organism in Eukaryota, Metazoa, Arthropoda, Malacostraca, Decapoda, Varunidae.
AAGGAAAGGAAAAAAAAAUAGAAUGACAAGGAUAAGGUGACCAGGAAGAAAAAGAGAAAAAAAGGAAGAAAGAAAGAAAGGAGAUGAAAAAGUAGAAUGACAAGGAGAAGGUGACCAGGAAGAAAAAGAGGAAAAGAAGAAAAAAAAAGGAAAAUAUGAAAGAGUAGACUGACAAGAAAGAGGUGACCAGG